UACGUAGGGUGCGAGCGUUAAUCGGAAUUACUGGGCGUAAAGCGUGCGCAGGCGGUGAUGUAAGACAGUUGUGAAAUCCCCGGGCUCAACCUGGGAACUGCAUCUGUGACUGCAUCGCUGGAGUGCGGCAGAGGGGGAUGGAAUUCCGCGUGUAGCAGUGAAAUGCGUAGAUAUGUGGAGGAACACCGAUGGCGAAGGCAGCCCCCUGGGAUAACACUGACGCUCAUGCACGAAAGCGUGGGGAGCAAACAGG
Molecule: ribosomal RNA, 253 nt
Filed under: uncultured bacterium
Lineage: Bacteria
Description: partial 16S ribosomal RNA
Rfam family: Bacterial small subunit ribosomal RNA
Source: RNAcentral